AACGAACGCUGGCGGCGUGGAUAAGACAUGCAAGUCGAACGAGAGAAUUGCUAGCUUGCUAAUAAUUCUCUAGUGGCGCACGGGUGAGUAACACGUGAGUAACCUGCCCCCCGAGAGCGGGAUAGCCCUGGGAAACUGGGAUUAAUACCGCAUAGUAUCGAAAGAUUAAAGCAGCAAUGCGCUUGGGGAUGGGCUCGCGGCCUAUUAGUUAGUUGGUGAGGUAACGGCUCACCAAGGCGAUGACGGGUAGCCGGUCUGAGAGGAUGUCCGGCCACACUGGAACUGAGACACGGUCCAGACACCUACGGGUGGCAGCAGUCGAGAAUCAUUCACAAUGGGGGAAACCCUGAUGGUGCGACGCCGCGUGGGGGAAUGAAGGUCUUCGGAUUGUAAACCCCUGUCAUGUGGGAGCAAAUUAAAAAGAUAGUACCACAAGAGGAAGAGACGGCUAACUCUGUGCCAGCAGCCGCGGUAAUACAGAGGUCUCAAGCGUUGUUCGGAAUCACUGGGCGUAAAGCGUGCGUAGGCUGUUUCGUAAGUCGUGUGUGAAAGGCGCGGGCUCAACCCGCGGACGGCACAUGAUACUGCGAGACUAGAGUAAUGGAGGGGGAACCGGAAUUCUCGGUGUAGCAGUGAAAUGCGUAGAUAUCGAGAGGAACACUCGUGGCGAAGGCGGGUUCCUGGACAUUAACUGACGCUGUGGCACGAAGGCCAGGGGAGCGAAAGGGAUUAGAUACCCCUGUAGUCCUGGCAGUAAACGGUGCACGCUUGGUGUGCGGGGAAUCGACCCCCUGCGUGCCGGAGCUAACGCGUUAAGCGUGCCGCCUGGGGAGUACGGUCGCAAGAUUAAAACUCAAAGAAAUUGACGGGGACCCGCACAAGCGGUGGAGUAUGUGGCUUAAUUCGAUGCAACGCGAAGAACCUUACCUGGGCUUGACAUGUAAUGAACAACAUGUGAAAGCAUGCGACUCUUCGGAGGCGUUACACAGGUGCUGCAUGGCCGUCGUCAGCUCGUGUCGUGAGAUGUUUGGUUAAGUCCAGCAACGAGCGCAACCCCUGUUGCCAGUUACCAGCACGUGAAGGUGGGGACUCUGGCGAGACUGCCCAGAUCAACUGGGAGGAAGGUGGGGACGACGUCAGGUCAGUAUGGCCCUUAUGCCCAGGGCUGCACACGUACUACAAUGCCCAGUACAGAGGGGGCCGAAGCCGCGAGGCGGAGGAAAUCCUAAAAACUGGGCCCAGUUCGGACUGUAGGCUGCAACCCGCCUACACGAAGCCGGAAUCGCUAGUAAUGGCGCAUCAGCUACGGCGCCGUGAAUACGUUCCCGGGUCGUGCACA
RNAcentral lists this ribosomal RNA (1339 nucleotides) under uncultured bacterium. RNAcentral's name for it is "bacterial SSU rRNA". It matches the Rfam family "Bacterial small subunit ribosomal RNA", at positions 28 to 1387 of the family's 1533-position model. The record is from RNAcentral.